Molecule: long non-coding RNA, 336 nt
Filed under: Gossypium raimondii (Peruvian cotton)
Lineage: Eukaryota; Viridiplantae; Streptophyta; Magnoliopsida; Malvales; Malvaceae
Description: long non-coding RNA (GRAI_LNC006446)
Source: RNAcentral
UAUUUUUAGUUUUUAUUUUAGGGUAGAUUACACCAAUAGUCACUCAAUUUUGAUGCAACUGAAAAAAAAAGUCACUAUGGUUUCAAUUCAAUCAGUCAACUUUCAGAAAAUGACAAAUCGGUCACUACCGUUACAGAUGUAACAAAAAGCUCAGGUGGCCCAUUAACUUACCAUGCUAUCAUCCCACGUGGAAACGACGACCUCUACACUGUCCCCCAUUAACUUGCAAUAGUAGAAGAAGAAUAAAAAAGAAAACUAAAUAAAAAAAUGGAACCCAUGUGCUUGCUUUGCCAAAACAGAAUCUGACCCUCUCCUUCUCCCCCACCAUCCCUUUCC